UCUAAGAGGUCCAGCCUGCCCAGUGACAAAGUUUACGGCCGCGGUACGCUGACCGUGCAAGGUAGCAUAAUCACUUGUUCUUUAAAUGGGGACUCGUAUCAACGGCAUCACGAGGGCUAUACUGUCUCCUCCUCCUAAUCAGUGAAACUGAUCCCCCCGUGAAGAAGCGGGGAUUUUAGUAUAAGACGAGAAGACCCCAUGGAGCUUUAAGCUCCAUACUUAAUCCGCGCUUAUACAUCAACUAAGCCACAAACAUUUAAGUAUAAGCUUUAGGUUGGGGGGACCGCGGAGAAUAACUCAUCCUCCACGACUGACAGGCAACGCCUUURUCCACGAGCAACACCUCUAAGAAUCAAAUAAAUUGAUGUACAAUGACCCGACAAUUCGACUAACGAACCAAGUUACCCUGGGGAUAACAGCGCAAUCUACUUCAAGAGUCCUUAUCGACAAGUGGGUUUACGACCUCGAUGUUGGAUCAGGGUUCCCCAGUGGUGCAGCCGCUACUAACGGUUCGUUUGUUCAACGAUUAAAACCCUACGUGAUCUGAGUUCAAACCGGGA
This 560-nucleotide ribosomal RNA is filed under the name Pulchrana banjarana. RNAcentral describes it as "partial 16S ribosomal RNA". It matches the Rfam family "Bacterial large subunit ribosomal RNA", at positions 1844 to 2621 of the family's 2925-position model. Lineage: Eukaryota; Metazoa; Chordata; Amphibia; Anura; Ranidae. The record is from RNAcentral.